CAGCAGUCGCCGCGGGAAUACGAAGGGGGCUAGCGUUGUUCGGGAUUACUGGGCGUAAAGCGCACGUAGGCGGAUAUUUAAGUCAGGGGUGAAAUCCCAGAGCUCAACUCUGGAACUGCCUUUGAUACUGGGUAUCUUGAGUAUGGAAGAGGUGAGUGGAAUUCCGAGUGUAGAGGUGAAAUUCGUAGAUAUUCGGAGGAACACCAGUGGCGAAGGCGGCUCACUGGUCCAUUACUGACGCUGAGGUGCGAAAGCGUGGGGAGCAAACAGGAUUAGAUACCCGCGUAGUCCCUGUCUCUUAUAC
Molecule: ribosomal RNA, 304 nt
Filed under: uncultured bacterium
Lineage: Bacteria
Description: partial 16S ribosomal RNA
Rfam family: Bacterial small subunit ribosomal RNA
Source: RNAcentral